CUUCACCGAGCCCAGCCACAACGGCCGACCGCCCGCGCGGCCCUGCCCGUACGUCGCCAGCAGCGCCUCUGCCUC
RNAcentral lists this antisense RNA (75 nucleotides) under Streptomyces sp. yr375. Its description in RNAcentral is "ASpks TB sRNA". It matches the Rfam family "ASpks TB sRNA". Lineage: Bacteria; Bacillati; Actinomycetota; Actinomycetes; Kitasatosporales; Streptomycetaceae. The record is from Rfam by way of RNAcentral.